GAUCAUGGCUCAGGAUGAACGCUAGCUACAGGCUUAACACAUGCAAGUCGAGGGGCAGCAUGACGAUAGCUUGCUAUUGUUGAUGGCGACCGGCGCACGGGUGAGUAACGCGUAUCCAACCUUCCCGUUGCUAGGGGAUAACCUUGCGAAAGUAAGACUAAUACCCUAUGAAGUUCUUCGCAGGCAUCUAAAGAGAACGAAAGAUUUAUCGGCAACGGAUGGGGGAUGCGUCUGAUUAGGUUGUUGGCGGGGUAACGGCCCACCAAGGCAACGAUCAGUAGGGGUUCUGAGAGGAAGGUCCCCCACAUUGGAACUGAGACACGGUCCAAACUCCUACGGGAGGCAGCAGUGAGGAAUAUUGGUCAAUGGGCGAGAGCCUGAACCAGCCAAGUAGCGUGCAGGAAGACGGCCCUAUGGGUUGUAAACUGCUUUUAUAAGGGAAUAAAGUGAGCCUCGUGAGGCUUUUUGCAUGUACCUUAUGAAUAAGGACCGGCUAAUUCCGUG
RNAcentral lists this ribosomal RNA (504 nucleotides) under uncultured bacterium. RNAcentral's name for it is "bacterial SSU rRNA". It matches the Rfam family "Bacterial small subunit ribosomal RNA", at positions 15 to 507 of the family's 1533-position model. The record is from RNAcentral.